Amphiprion ocellaris (clown anemonefish) is the source of this 1115-nucleotide long non-coding RNA. NCBI's taxonomy places the organism in Eukaryota, Metazoa, Chordata, Actinopteri, Pomacentridae. The record is from Ensembl.
CCAGCUGUAUCACAAUAUUCUUGCAUGCUUUGUUGUAUGCUGUAAAACCUUUGUGUUGAGACUUUUUGGAGACUUUUGCACAAAUUUCGUUCUUGGCCAUUUUGCUGAGGCAGAACAGCCUUGUGGAGUCCCACAGGUCUUCUCCAGGGAUCCUCUCUUCAUCUCAGCCAUCAUGUCUGAUAUCCCAGGCUUGCUUGGAACUCCAGGAGCUGUGCGCCUCCGCAUUCCCAAGUCGUCAUGUGGAUCCUCCCUCCGUCAUCCCUCCAGCUGACUCCAGCUGCGGAGCGCGAGCCGUCCAGCUGCGCGCCGCCGUGUUCCCUGAGAGCUCGUGCAGCAUCCAGAUGCAGGACGGCAGCUUUAACGACAUCCAGCAGCAGUUUGGGGACGUGAUGUUGCCCGGCAACGGCUACGGGGGCAAUAACAACAACAACCCCAGCGGAGGCAUCAGCUACAGCUCCUCCCUGCCGCCCCCCACCGCCUCCCCGCUGCCCUGGAGCCACGGACUGUCCUCAGAUGCGGACUUCUACGGCCACGGGAUGGCUCCCUGCUCCUCACCGGAGUCUCUGGCGUUCUGCAACCCCAUGGAUCACAACAGCUACUCCCCACAGGACUCGUUCUCCUCCUCCUCUUCCUCCUGCUACGACUCGCCCACCAGGAUGGAGUCCAGCUUCCGCGGCUUCACCUCGGAGCUCUACCACUACCAGCACUGUACCCCCCAGGACUGUUACUGUCUGCCCCACUGCUGGCCAGCCCCGCAGGAGAGCUUCCCUGCCCCAGAAUAUGCACCUUACUACAACCCCACAGACCUUCCAUACGUCUGUCCUGUGGAGGAGAAUUACUUUAGGAGGGAUCUCCCAGUGAGCUCUGAGAUGUGUUACAAUGUUCUAUGAUGAGACCUCCAGCAGUAUUACCUUGUAUUCUGGCUGUAAAUAUGAUUCUCUUCAAGUAAGGCUGUUUGCUUGUUGCUUUGCAGUCCAUGCCAGUGUGUGUCCUGACUGGCUUUGGCUUCGGUGCAUGAUGAAUGCUGAAUGGAUGGAAAUAUUUUUGUAUCCUUUUUGAAAACUUAGAUUUAUUUUCAUACACAUGAUUUGUUGCUGUACAAAAUAAAGAAAAAC